RNAcentral lists this ribosomal RNA (253 nucleotides) under uncultured bacterium. RNAcentral's name for it is "partial 16S ribosomal RNA". It matches the Rfam family "Bacterial small subunit ribosomal RNA", at positions 524 to 776 of the family's 1533-position model. The record is from RNAcentral.
GACGAACCGUGCGAACGUUGUUCGGAAUCAUUGGGCGUAAAGGGUGCGUAGGCGGCGCGGUAAGUCGGGUGUGAAAUCUCGGAGCUUAACUCCGAAACUGCAUUCGAUACUGCCGUGCUUGAGGACUGGAGAGGAGACUGGAAUUUACGGUGUAGCGGUGAAAUGCGUAGAUAUCGUAAGGAAGACCAGUGGCGAAGGCGGGUCUCUGGACAGUUCCUGACGCUGAGGCACGAAGGUCAGGGGAGCAAACGGG